This is a long non-coding RNA of Adelges cooleyi (spruce gall adelgid), 730 nucleotides long. RefSeq lists it as uncharacterized. The transcript has 3 exons. Lineage: Eukaryota; Metazoa; Arthropoda; Insecta; Hemiptera; Adelgidae. The record is from RefSeq and is a predicted model, not a curated record.
UUAAAUACAAAUUUUGUUGUUGUUAAUAAUUGAGAUUACUUUUUAUAUGCACUCGGAAUUUCUUUGAAUUAUAACUAGUUACAUUUGAUUUAGCGCCAUAGAAACAACUUGUUUUCAUUAUUGUUGCUACGGGUCCGAUUCGUGAGAAUCUCUAGUUUUUAAUUUUAAUAUUGUUAAAUUUCAUGAUAAAUACCUAACGCAUUGCGCCGUGUUUCGUUAUUUCGUUUUAAUUUGCGUUACAAUUGAGUUUUGUCUUGCCUGUAAUUCAUUUAUUAUAAGUUUUUAGUAGCAGCCCUGGACGGCGGUUUACGUUUCUACGUUGUGUGAUUACCUACCGUUGUAUUUCUAAUUUAUUUACAUUAUUGCCGUGUUUUCCAUUCACUCAGAAUAUUGUUGCUUAGUUUGGAAGCUAUUUAAUAUGUUGAAAAUUAAACAUGAAAAUGAUGAAACAGAACAACACUCCUUUCAAGUCAUUGCACCCAGACCGUUAGAUGUGCAGUUCAAAAACAAUGAAAUUUCUACAAUAGAGGAGUAUUUGGUAAAGAAUGAAGUGGACAAUACUUAUGAAGUUUUGAAGCGACAUAAUGUGUUGAAAAUUAAACAAGAAACUGAUGAAACAGAAGAACACUCCUUUGAAAAGUCGUUUGAAGUCAUUGAACCUGAACCGUUAAAUGUGCAGUUAAAAAAAAAUGAAAUUUCAACAACAGAGGAGAAUUUAGUAAAGAAUGAA